Molecule: ribosomal RNA, 253 nt
Filed under: uncultured bacterium
Lineage: Bacteria
Description: partial 16S ribosomal RNA
Rfam family: Bacterial small subunit ribosomal RNA
Source: RNAcentral
UACGGAGGGUCCAAGCGUUAUCCGGAAUCAUUGGGUUUAAAGGGUGCGUAGGUGGGUCUGUAAGUCAGUGGUGAAAUCUCCGAGCUUAACUCGGAAACUGCCAUCGAUACUAUAGAUCUUGAAUUAUCUGGAGGUAAGCGGAAUAUGUCAUGUAGCGGUGAAAUGCUUAGAUAUGACAUAGAACACCAAUUGCGAAGGCAGCUUACUACGGAUCGAUUGACACUGAGGCACGAAAGCGUGGGGAUCAAACAGG